UUUUAAGUAGAAAGUUCGAGAACAAUUUCUACUUAUUAGCUAAAUGGGUCGAGAGCGGGGUCUAUACAGGUACAAAUUUUUACCCUAAUUGUCACCCAAUUUUUUUUAUCUUAAUUAAUAUUUUUUUAAUUUAAAAUUUAAGUUAAGAAUUUUGUCAAAAGACGACGACUAGAACCGUGGUUCUGGUUCUACUGCUCUUCGACCGAAAAUGGCGUCUGUUCUGCAACUCCCAAUCAUCGACCUCUCCUCUCAAGACCGCACCUCUGUUGCUUUCUCAAUCCAUCAGGCAUGCUUGGAUUACGGAUUCUUUUACUUGAUCAACCAUGGCGUUGAAGACGAAUUGCUCGAGAGAGUGUUUGACGAAAGUAGGAAGUUCUUUUCUCUUCCUAUUGAGGAGAAGAUGAAACUUGCUCGGAAGGAACAUAGGGGAUACACCGCUCUUUAUGCCGAGAAGCUCGAUCCCACCACCUCGACUGAUAUAGGGGAUGCAAAAGAGAGCUAUUAUAUUGGCCCUUUGGCAGGCAACGAAACUGAAAAUGACUUAAAUCAGUGGCCUUCAGGAGAACUAUUGCCUUCUUGGAGAGCUACAAUGGAAUCCUUCUAUAAGCAAGCACUGCGUGUUGGAAGACGAAUAAUAUCUUUACUUGCAUUGGCUCUGAAUCUGGAUGAGAAUUUCUUUGAGAAAAUUGGUGCCUUCAGUAAACCAUCAGAUUUUCUUCGGCUUCUACACUAUCCAGGUGACUUAAGAUCUCUUGAUGAAGAAAUAUUAGGUGCUUCUGCACAUUCAGAUUGGGGGAUGAUCACUCUCCUUGUAACCAAUGGCAUUCCCGGACUUCAGAUAUGCAAGGAAAAGUCUGAUCACCCACAAGUUUGGGAAGAUGUUGCUCAUAUAGAUAAGGCAUUCAUUGUUAAUGUUGGGGACUUGAUGGAAAGGUGGACGAACUGUCUGUUCCGGUCGACUCUACAUCGAGUGAUUCCAGUUGGAGAAGAACGCUACUCGGUUGCUUUCUUCUUACAUCCGAGUGACGAAUGUGUCGUGGAAUGUCUUCAUAGUUGUUGUAGCGAGUCAUCUCCCCCGAGAUUAUUGAAUGUGCAUGCAGAUAUCCUCCCAUUAGCAGUCUAGACUACUUGAAAGAACGUGUGAGGUUGGCUUAUAAAGACGGAUUUGCUUAGAAAAGAUCUAGAUAACGUGAGCCGCCACGUGGAUGGCCAGAUGAGUGGGACCCACGUUAUCUAUUUUCUUUGCCGUCUGAUCAUCUCUUGUGGGACCCAUUAAUAUAGAGAUAAAAAUUAAAAUAAAAUAAGAAAUGGAUAAACUUUUCAUAAAGCGUUUUUAAAAGCUAAGAUGUCUGUACCUUUGGAUAAGAU
Cucurbita maxima (winter squash) is the source of this 1368-nucleotide RNA transcript. It is a transcript of the gene named 2-oxoglutarate-Fe(II) type oxidoreductase-like, with no coding region annotated. The record is from RefSeq and is a predicted model, not a curated record. The transcript has 12 exons. NCBI's taxonomy places the organism in Eukaryota, Viridiplantae, Streptophyta, Magnoliopsida, Cucurbitales, Cucurbitaceae.